RNAcentral lists this ribosomal RNA (2935 nucleotides) under Salmonella enterica subsp. diarizonae. RNAcentral's name for it is "bacterial LSU rRNA". It matches the Rfam family "Bacterial large subunit ribosomal RNA". The record is from RNAcentral. Lineage: Bacteria; Pseudomonadati; Pseudomonadota; Gammaproteobacteria; Enterobacterales; Enterobacteriaceae.
GGGUUGUGAGGUUAAGCGACCAAGCGUACACGGUGGAUGCCCUGGCAGUCAGAGGCGAUGAAGGACGUGCUAAUCUGCGAAAAGCGCCGGUAAGGUGAUAUGAACCGUUAUAACCGGCGAUGUCCGAAUGGGGAAACCCAGUGUGACUCGUCACACUAUCAUUAACUGAAUCCAUAGGUUAAUGAGGCGAACCGGGGGAACUGAAACAUCUAAGUACCCCGAGGAAAAGAAAUCAACCGAGAUUCCCCCAGUAGCGGCGAGCGAACGGGGAGGAGCCCAGAGCCUGAAUCAGCAUGUGUGUUAGUGGAAGCGUCUGGAAAGGCGCGCGAUACAGGGUGACAGCCCCGUACACAAAAGCGCACAUGCUGUGAGCUCGAUGAGUAGGGCGGGACACGUGGUAUCCUGUCUGAAUAUGGGGGGACCAUCCUCCAAGGCUAAAUACUCCUGACUGACCGAUAGUGAACCAGUACCGUGAGGGAAAGGCGAAAAGAACCCCGGCGAGGGGAGUGAAACAGAACCUGAAACCGUGUACGUACAAGCAGUGGGAGCCUCUCUUUAUGGGGGGUGACUGCGUACCUUUUGUAUAAUGGGUCAGCGACUUAUAUUCUGUAGCAAGGUUAACCGCAUAGGGGAGCCGAAGGGAAACCGAGUCUUAAUUGGGCGUUAAGUUGCAGGGUAUAGACCCGAAACCCGGUGAUCUAGCCAUGGGCAGGUUGAAGGUUGGGUAACACUAACUGGAGGACCGAACCGACUAAUGUUGAAAAAUUAGCGGAUGACCUGUGGCUGGGGGUGAAAGGCCAAUCAAACCGGGAGAUAGCUGGUUCUCCCCGAAAGCUAUUUAGGUAGCGCCUCGUGAAUUCAUCUCCGGGGGUAGAGCACUGUUUCGGCUAGGGGGCCAUCCCGGCUUACCAACCCGAUGCAAACUGCGAAUACCGGAGAAUGUUAUCACGGGAGACACACGGCGGGUGCUAACGUCCGUCGUGAAGAGGGAAACAACCCAGACCGCCAGCUAAGGUCCCAAAGUCAUGGUUAAGUGGGAAACGAUGUGGGAAGGCCCAGACAGCCAGGAUGUUGGCUUAGAAGCAGCCAUCAUUUAAAGAAAGCGUAAUAGCUCACUGGUCGAGUCGGCCUGCGCGGAAGAUGUAACGGGGCUAAACCAUGCACCGAAGCUGCGGCAGCGACACUUUAGUGUUGUUGGGUAGGGGAGCGUUCUGUAAGCCGUUGAAGGUGUCCUGUGAGGGGUGCUGGAGGUAUCAGAAGUGCGAAUGCUGACAUAAGUAACGAUAAAGCGGGUGAAAAGCCCGCUCGCCGGAAGACCAAGGGUUCCUGUCCAACGUUAAUCGGGGCAGGGUGAGUCGACCCCUAAGGCGAGGCCGAAAGGCGUAGUCGAUGGGAAACGGGUUAAUAUUCCCGUACUUGGUGUUACUGCGAAGGGGGGACGGAGAAGGCUAUGUUGGCCGGGCGACGGUAGUCCCGGUUUAAGCGUGUAGGUGUGUGUUCCAGGUAAAUCCGGUUCACUUUAACACUGAGGCGUGAUGACGAGGCACCACGGUGCUGAAGCAACAAAUGCCCUGCUUCCAGGAAAAGCCUCUAAGCAUCAGGUAACAUCAAAUCGUACCCCAAACCGACACAGGUGGUCAGGUAGAGAAUACCAAGGCGCUUGAGAGAACUCGGGUGAAGGAACUAGGCAAAAUGGUGCCGUAACUUCGGGAGAAGGCACGCUGACACGUAGGUGAAGUGAUUUACUCAUGGAGCUGAAGUCAGUCGAAGAUACCAGCUGGCUGCAACUGUUUAUUAAAAACACAGCACUGUGCAAACACGAAAGUGGACGUAUACGGUGUGACGCCUGCCCGGUGCCGGAAGGUUAAUUGAUGGGGUCAGCGCAAGCGAAGCUCCUGAUCGAAGCCCCGGUAAACGGCGGCCGUAACUAUAACGGUCCUAAGGUAGCGAAAUUCCUUGUCGGGUAAGUUCCGACCUGCACGAAUGGCGUAAUGAUGGCCAGGCUGUCUCCACCCGAGACUCAGUGAAAUUGAACUCGCUGUGAAGAUGCAGUGUACCCGCGGCAAGACGGAAAGACCCCGUGAACCUUUACUAUAGCUUGACACUGAACAUUGAGCCUUGAUGUGUAGGAUAGGUGGGAGGCUUUGAAGCGUGGACGCCAGUCUGCGUGGAGCCGACCUUGAAAUACCACCCUUUAAUGUUUGAUGUUCUAACGUGGACCCGUAAUCCGGGUUGCGGACAGUGUCUGGUGGGUAGUUUGACUGGGGCGGUCUCCUCCUAAAGAGUAACGGAGGAGCACGAAGGUUGGCUAAUCCUGGUCGGACAUCAGGAGGUUAGUGCAAUGGCAUAAGCCAGCUUGACUGCGAGCGUGACGGCGCGAGCAGGUGCGAAAGCAGGUCAUAGUGAUCCGGUGGUUCUGAAUGGAAGGGCCAUCGCUCAACGGAUAAAAGGUACUCCGGGGAUAACAGGCUGAUACCGCCCAAGAGUUCAUAUCGACGGCGGUGUUUGGCACCUCGAUGUCGGCUCAUCACAUCCUGGGGCUGAAGUAGGUCCCAAGGGUAUGGCUGUUCGCCAUUUAAAGUGGUACGCGAGCUGGGUUUAGAACGUCGUGAGACAGUUCGGUCCCUAUCUGCCGUGGGCGCUGGAAGACUGAGGGGGGCUGCUCCUAGUACGAGAGGACCGGAGUGGACGCAUCACUGGUGUUCGGGUUGUCAUGCCAAUGGCACUGCCCGGUAGCUAAAUGCGGAAAAGAUAAGUGCUGAAAGCAUCUAAGCACGAAACUUGCCCCGAGAUGAGUCUUCCCUGAGACUUUGAGUCUCCUGAAGGAACGUUAAAGACGAUGACGUUGAUAGGCCGGGUGUGUAAGCGCAGCGAUGCGUUGAGCUAACCGGUACUAAUGAACCGUGAGGCUUAACCUUACAACGCCGAAGCUGUU